This is a long non-coding RNA of Leptinotarsa decemlineata (Colorado potato beetle), 593 nucleotides long. The record is from RefSeq and is a predicted model, not a curated record. NCBI's taxonomy places the organism in Eukaryota, Metazoa, Arthropoda, Insecta, Coleoptera, Chrysomelidae.
CAUUUUUGUUUAAUAAUGGAGAAUAGAAGGCCACAAAGCUUUCUCUUCCUAAAAAAUAAUACCGUUGCUGUUUCCCUCUGAAGAUUUUUGCCUUUCAAUUUUUUUUUCUAUGUACCGAAUAUUCAAAAACCACACCAGCUUUGUGUAGGUACUAGGAUCGAAAUAAUGAAUAUUGAUUAUUAUUUAUUGAUUUUAGAUCGAUUCCCAUUUAUUUCAAAUGGGUUUCAUACCUUUCUUGGUUCAAAUACGGCAAUGAAGCACUAAUGAUCAACCAAUGGGAAAAUAUAACUGAAAUAGAUUGUCCAAAUGGGAAUUCUACCUGUCCGCGGGAUGGACAUAUGGUUUUACAAAUUUAUAAUUUUCAUGAAGAAGCUCUACCAAUUGAUAUAAUAUCACUUCUGGCCCUUAUUGUAGGAUUUCGUCUAAUCGCAUAUUUCGGUCUAUUGAGCAAAACAUACAAGUAAUGGACGAAAUAUAUUAUUCAGUGACCUGUGAUUCGUACACUGCCAAUGUUUUCUCUUUAUUGCAACUUAUACGAAUAUUUGUAUUUGUAUGAACUGAAUAGAUAAUAAUUAAAUGCGGUCACGUAUACA